UACGUAGGGGGCGAGCGUUGUCCGGAUUUAUUGGGCGUAAAGAGCUCGUAGGUGGUUUGGUAAGUCGGAUGUGAAAUCUCCAGGCUCAACCUGGAGGGGUCAUUCGAUAUUGCCAUGACUAGAGUUCGGUAGGGGAGUGUGGAAUUCCUGGUGGAGCGGUGAAAUGCGCAGAUAUCAGGAGGAACACCCGUAGCGAAGGCGGCACUCUGGGCCGAUACUGACACUGAGGAGCGAAAGCGUGGGGAGCGAACAGG
RNAcentral lists this ribosomal RNA (254 nucleotides) under uncultured bacterium. Its description in RNAcentral is "partial 16S ribosomal RNA". It matches the Rfam family "Bacterial small subunit ribosomal RNA", at positions 524 to 776 of the family's 1533-position model. The record is from RNAcentral.